UAAUACGGAGGAUCCAAGCGUUAUCCGGAUUUAUUGGGUUUAAAGGGUGCGUAGGCGGCCUAUUAAGUCAGGGGUGAAAGACGGUGGCUCAACCAUCGCAGUGCCCUUGAUACUGAUGGGCUUGAUUACACUUGAGGUAGGCGGAAUGUGACAAGUAGCGGUGAAAUGCAUAGAUAUGUCACAGAACACCAAUUGCGAAGGCAGCUUACUAAGGUGUCAAUGACGCUGAGGCACGAAAGCGUGGGGAUCAAACAGGAUUAGAUACCCUGGUAGUCCACGCCCUAAACGAUGAAUACUCGAUGUUAGCGAUAUACAGUUAGCGUCAAAGCGAAAGCGUUAAGUAUUCCACCUGGGGAGUACGCCCGCAAGGGU
This 372-nucleotide ribosomal RNA is filed under the name uncultured bacterium. Its description in RNAcentral is "bacterial SSU rRNA". It matches the Rfam family "Bacterial small subunit ribosomal RNA", at positions 521 to 895 of the family's 1533-position model. The record is from RNAcentral.